GCAGUCAACAGGAUCCAUUGAGAGAGAGAGAGAGAGAGAGAGAGAGAGAGAGGCACAUUUUGACAUUUACUCCAAAAUAGAACGGUUUAAAGUUUAAUUUAAAUAAAUGGUGUACUGGACAGUAAUCUUUGACAACAUUUAUCUUUCAUUGUCCAUAAAAUAUAUCAAACUAGUUAUGAAUAAGGACCCACAAAUACAAACAACUUAAAGCAUCCCCUCUCCUUUUCUGGCUGUCUACCCCUUUCUGGUCUGUAUUAUAUGUAUUGAACAAUUACAUUUUAUAAUUUAUUCUGUAACCACUAGUCUUUUGGCAUAUGUUUGAAAAGAAACACAUUU
Non-coding RNA from Pelobates cultripes (western spadefoot toad), 336 nucleotides. Lineage: Eukaryota; Metazoa; Chordata; Amphibia; Anura; Pelobatidae. The record is from the annotation of a GenBank genome assembly.